UAAGGAAUAUUGGUCAAUGGACGCAAGUCUGAACCAGCCAUGCCGCGUGAAGGAUGAAGGUCCUCUGGAUUGUAAACUUCUUUUAUUUGGGAAGAAACCCAUUUUUUCUAGAGUGGUUGACGGUACCAGAUGAAUAAGCACCGGCUAACUCCGUGCCAGCAGCCGCGGUAAUACGGAGGGUGCAAGCGUUAUCCGGAUUCACUGGGUUUAAAGGGUGCGUAGGUGGGCAGGUAAGUCAGUGGUGAAAUCUCCGGGCUUAACCCGGAAACUGCCAUUGAUACUAUCUGUCUUGAAUACCGUGGAGGUGAGCGGAAUAUGUCAUGUAGCGGUGAAAUGCUUAGAUAUGACAUAGAACACCAAUUGCGAAGGCAGCUCACUACGCGAAUAUUGACACUGAGGCACGAAAGCGUGGGGAUCAAACAGGAUUAGAUACCCUGGUAGUCCACGCCCUAAACGAUGGAUACUCGACAUACGCGAUACACAGUGUGUGUCUGAGCGAAAGCAUUAAGUAUCCCACCUGGGAAGUACGACCGCAAGGUUGC
This 542-nucleotide ribosomal RNA is filed under the name uncultured Chitinophagaceae bacterium. Its description in RNAcentral is "bacterial SSU rRNA". It matches the Rfam family "Bacterial small subunit ribosomal RNA", at positions 355 to 897 of the family's 1533-position model. Lineage: Bacteria; Pseudomonadati; Bacteroidota; Chitinophagia; Chitinophagales; Chitinophagaceae. The record is from RNAcentral.